UGUCCGCUCUUUCCGCCACCCACCAUUCAUACUAGUGAUGGGAAGUUCGGCUCUUUUGGCUCAGCUUCCAAAGAAGAUCCGGCUCUUUCGACUCCUGAAUGGGUCUUAAUUUAGGAUUUUUUGCAGAGCUUUGUUUUACCAUAAUUUUGCAAAUAUUAAUGGUUUGUGUGUUGAAAACCCUUUCAUGUGCAGUAUUUUUUAUGAGAAUCAUUAUAAUUGCUUAAAUUUUGUGCAUUUAUUUUGUUACAAAACCAGUCUUUUGUUUAAUAUUUUAAACAAAAAUUUUAUUGCACAAAUUAACAACAAAACCGCAAAUAAAUCCACAGAACUAGAACCAAACUCAAGCAAACAGUUUUAAUGUCCUCAGUGAAGAUUGGCAUUCAAAAAAAAUCAGAUGCCUCAGCUUUGAUGGACUGAUCAUAUUUAUUUUUUCUGUGAUUAUCUGCCCUGUUUUUUUAGAUUCUCUCUGAAGGAACAGAUGUUGCCACAAUACACACAGUCUCCCCUCCAUUAACGUUGUUACGACUCGUUAACUUGCAGUGGAAUGCCGCUUCACUACACCCCCCUCUCUGUUUUUACAUAAUGUUAUGAUCCCAAAUACUCACAUCUGAUUGGCCUCGAUGCGAUUGCUGACCAAUCAAAACAAAGUUCUGCCUUGAGGUAAGCAGCCAAAGGAAAAACAUUUUUGGAGCCGGCUCUCAAUCGAAGCGAACCGGCUCUUCUGAUUCACUACAAAGCAUCGGCUCUCAGAGCCGCAUCUUUUGCGCAUGACCCAUCACUAAUUCAUACUGUACAUCCUCAAAGUUUUAAGAUGCCACGAGGGUCAACAAUAACAACCUGUGUGGGCUGCAAAGCAGCUAUUGGUGUGGCCACCAAGACCUGCAAAUAUUGCCAGUCUGUACAGCCAAGAAAGCAAAGACUGGCAAAAAAAACUUAAGAAUUUUGAGGACAGAAAGGAGAAGUGGUUAAAAAACCAAACCAAAAACCAAACCACCUCUCAUGUUAUUGAUGAGGCAUCUGUCUUGGUCGAAAAGUUAAACACAUUGGGGUACAAGGCCAUAGUCUUCAUUGGAAAGAAAACAAAGAAACAGAAAACCUGGUCCGCACAAGUCCUCCAGCCAAAAUGGCAGCUGUCAGACCAUUCUGCAAAAUGCCUGGACAGGAUGAAGGCUCUUUAUGAACUGUUAAUUGAUGGUUGUACUAACCAGCAGCCCGCCACCGGUCCUCCUCCCAUCCAGUCCACCACCAGUCCUCCUCCUCCUCCCAUCCAGUCCACCACCAGUCCUCCUCCUCCUCCCAUCCAGUCCAUC
This is a long non-coding RNA of Carassius auratus (goldfish), 1310 nucleotides long. RefSeq lists it as uncharacterized. The record is from RefSeq and is a predicted model, not a curated record. NCBI's taxonomy places the organism in Eukaryota, Metazoa, Chordata, Actinopteri, Cypriniformes, Cyprinidae. The transcript is spliced from 4 exons.